This 393-nucleotide ribosomal RNA is filed under the name uncultured bacterium. RNAcentral's name for it is "partial 16S ribosomal RNA". It matches the Rfam family "Bacterial small subunit ribosomal RNA", at positions 523 to 918 of the family's 1533-position model. The record is from RNAcentral.
AUACGGAGGAUCCGAGCGUUAUCCGGAUUUAUUGGGUUUAAAGGGAGCAUAGGUGGGAUAUUAAGUCAGCUGUGAAAGUUUGGGGCUCGACCUUAAAAUUGCAGUUGAUACUGGUUUCCUUGAGUACGGUAUAGGUGGGCGGAAUUCGUGGUGUAGCGGUGAAAUGCUUAGAUAUCACGAAGAACUCCGAUCGCGAAGGCAGCUCACCGGGCCGGAACUGACACUGAUGCUCGAAAGUGCGGGUAUCAAACAGGAUUAGAUACCCUGGUAGUCCGCACAGUAAACGAUGAAUACUCGCUGUUUGCGAUACACUGUAAGCGGCCAAGCGAAAGCGUUAAGUAUUCCACCUGGGGAGUACGCCGGCAACGGUGAAACUCAAAUGAAUUGACGGGG